Molecule: long non-coding RNA, 348 nt
Filed under: Capsella grandiflora
Lineage: Eukaryota; Viridiplantae; Streptophyta; Magnoliopsida; Brassicales; Brassicaceae
Description: long non-coding RNA (CGRA_LNC001420)
Source: RNAcentral
AUAAACAAAGUGUGAGGAAACUGAAUAGGGAAUUUUUGGUUAUUAAUGUUGAAGAACAAAAUUUUGGAUUAAGCAACUAGCUUAUUCCCAUAGAAACAAAUCACUAUGUCUUGCCAACCUAGGUUACUCUAUUUAUGUUGGGUAAGAAGGAGAUAAUCAUACAUAAACAAUCAAACUUUGAUAUGUUUAAAAACAAAAAUCUAUAACUCAAUUUUUAGUUGGUUGUGAUGCUUUGCUUAUCUAAAUUACUUCAAGAGAUUUAAAUCUAACCUAAAAGCAGUAGCUAGGUCGUCAAUCGAGCAGUAAGCAACAAAGAUUUAUAUAGAUGGAUAACAAUAAACGGAAAAA